AUGAAUAAAGUGGUUAUGGGUAUUGGGUUCCUACUAUACCCGACUCUUGGUUUCAUCGUGAAACUCUGUUGAUCUAGGGUUAGUUGGUCUUGGUGAGUUGCUAAGAUCAUCAGUAGUUUGUGAAGAUCACAUAAAGUAUUACAGAUCAUCUUGUUGAUGAUUUGUUGGUGAGCUUUCAUUCUUGUGAUAGUAGUGAAUCUUUGUAUUGUUAAAGUUUUGUUACAGUAAAGUUUAAGUUGUGCUUGAUACCACUGACAUGGUAUCAGAGCUCUAGGAGUUCUUUGGGUUGCUUCUGUUGAUCAGAUGUGGUUUGAUUGUUUGAUCUCAUACUUAGGCUUUUAGUAGAUUUGGGGUUCUUCCGUUCUUGGUGUUGGAUCUUUGUAGAUCGGUCAAGUCUCUAUUGUGUUGGAUCACAUAGAAUAUUGUGGCACCCCGCGAGAACACUUAGCUAUUCGGUAACCGCAUGCUAAAUUUCCGGACGAAAUUUCUUUCAACUUGGGGAUAAUGUGACAGCUCAUGUGUUUCACUUCGAAUUGACUUCCUUUACGUUUCAGCAUACGUGUAUUUGUAAUCAGUUUAUGAACUUGAUAUUAAUGCGAAGUGUUUAAAUGUUUGGUUUACAUUUU
Molecule: long non-coding RNA, 626 nt
Filed under: Helianthus annuus (common sunflower)
Lineage: Eukaryota; Viridiplantae; Streptophyta; Magnoliopsida; Asterales; Asteraceae
Description: hypothetical non coding rna
Source: RNAcentral